UACGGCCAUAUCACGUCGAAACACCGGUUUCCGUACGAUCACCGAAGUUAUGCAACGUUGAGCCUUGUUGGUAGUUAGAUGAGUCACCGCUUGGGAAUAUCAGGA
Non-coding RNA from Acanthosepion pharaonis, 105 nucleotides. Lineage: Eukaryota; Metazoa; Mollusca; Cephalopoda; Sepiida; Sepiidae. The record is from the annotation of a GenBank genome assembly.